This 320-nucleotide ribosomal RNA is filed under the name uncultured bacterium. RNAcentral describes it as "bacterial SSU rRNA". It matches the Rfam family "Bacterial small subunit ribosomal RNA", at positions 184 to 507 of the family's 1533-position model. The record is from RNAcentral.
UCCGGCAGUCGGGGUUCGUGGAAAGUUUUUUUCGGCCAGGGAUGUGCUCGCGGCCUAUCAGCUUGUUGGUGGGGUAAUGGCCUACCAAGGCUUCGACGGGUAGCCGGCCUGAGAGGGUGACCGGCCACACUGGGACUGAGACACGGCCCAGACUCCUACGGGAGGCAGCAGUGGGGAAUAUUGGACAAUGGGCGGAAGCCUGAUCCAGCAACGCCGCGUGAGGGAUGACGGCCUUCGGGUUGUAAACCUCUUUCAGUACCGACGAAGCGCCGAUGAUGGUGGUGACGGUAGGUACAGAAGAAGCACCGGCCAACUACGUG